UCAGGCCUAACACAUGCAAGUCGAACGAGAUUAUAGGGUAAGCUUGCUUACCUUAUAUGACAGUGGCGCACGGGUGCGUAACGCGUAUGCAAUCUACCUUAAUCAGGGGGAUAGCCUCUCGAAAGAGAGAUUAAUACCGCAUAACAUUAUGAUAUGGCAUCAUAUUAUAAUCAAACAUUUAUGGGAUUAAGAUGAGCAUGCGUGACAUUAGCUAGUUGGUGAGGUAACGGCUCACCAAGGCAACGAUGUCUAGGGGAUCUGAGAGGAUGACCCCCCACACUGGUACUGAGACACGGACCAGACUCCUACGGGAGGCAGCAGUAAGGAAUAUUGGUCAAUGGACGCAAGUCUGAACCAGCCAUGCCGCGUGCAGGAAGACGGCCCUAUGGGUUGUAAAGUGCUUUUAUACGGGAAUAAACCUUCUUUCGUGAAAGAAGCUGA
This 441-nucleotide ribosomal RNA is filed under the name uncultured bacterium. RNAcentral's name for it is "bacterial SSU rRNA". It matches the Rfam family "Bacterial small subunit ribosomal RNA", at positions 42 to 472 of the family's 1533-position model. The record is from RNAcentral.